RNAcentral lists this ribosomal RNA (112 nucleotides) under Caerostris darwini. Lineage: Eukaryota; Metazoa; Arthropoda; Arachnida; Araneae; Araneidae. The record is from RNAcentral.
AACGGCCAUACCAUGCUGCAUAGACCGGUUCUCGUUAGAUCACCGAAGUCAAGCAUCAUUGGGCGCGGUCAGUACUUGGGUGGGUGACCACCUGGAAACACCGCGUGCCGUU